UACGUAGGGUGCGAGCGUUGCCCGGAUUUAUUGGGCGUAAAGGGCGCGCAGGCGGCCACGCACGUCCGUUGUGAAAUCGCCCGGCUCAACUGGGCGGGGUCGGCGGAUACGGCGUGGCUGGAGCAAGCUAGGGGGUAGUGGAAUUCCCGGUGUAGUGGUGGAAUGCGUAGAUAUCGGGAGGAACACCAGUGGCGAAGGCGGCUACCUGGACGGUUUCUGACACUAAGACUCGAAAGCGUGGGGAGCAAACAGG
This 253-nucleotide ribosomal RNA is filed under the name uncultured bacterium. Its description in RNAcentral is "partial 16S ribosomal RNA". It matches the Rfam family "Bacterial small subunit ribosomal RNA", at positions 524 to 776 of the family's 1533-position model. The record is from RNAcentral.